This 253-nucleotide ribosomal RNA is filed under the name uncultured bacterium. RNAcentral's name for it is "partial 16S ribosomal RNA". It matches the Rfam family "Bacterial small subunit ribosomal RNA", at positions 524 to 776 of the family's 1533-position model. The record is from RNAcentral.
UACGGGGGGGGCAAGCGUUGUUCGGAAUUACUGGGCGGAAAGGGCUCGUAGGCGGCCAACUAAGUCGGACGUGAAAUCCCCAGGCUCAACCUGGGAACUGCGUCCGAUACUGGAUGGCUUGAAUUCGGGAGAGGGAUGCAGAAUUCCAGGUGUAGCGGUGAAAUGCGUAGAUAUCUGGAGGAAUACCGGUGGCGAAGGCGGCAUCCUGGACCGACAUUGACGCUGAUGAGCGAAAGCCAGGGGAGCGAACGGG